AGCCCCGUGGGGUAGUGGUCAAUCCUGCCGGCCUCUGGAGGCGGUGACGAGGGUUCGAAUCCCACCGGGGCUA
RNAcentral lists this transfer RNA (73 nucleotides) under Archaeoglobus sp. RNAcentral's name for it is "tRNA-Gln". It matches the Rfam family "tRNA". Rfam says of the family: Transfer RNA (tRNA) molecules are approximately 80 nucleotides in length. Their secondary structure includes four short double-helical elements and three loops (D, anti-codon, and T loops). Further hydrogen bonds mediate the characteristic L-shaped molecular structure. tRNAs have two regions of fundamental functional importance: the anti-codon, which is responsible for specific mRNA codon recognition, and the 3' end, to which the tRNAs corresponding amino acid is attached (by aminoacyl-tRNA synthetases). tRNAs cope with the degeneracy of the genetic code in two manners: having more than one tRNA (with a specific anti-codon) for a particular amino acid; and 'wobble' base-pairing, i.e. permitting non-standard base-pairing at the 3rd anti-codon position. The record is from RNAcentral. Lineage: Archaea; Methanobacteriati; Methanobacteriota; Archaeoglobi; Archaeoglobales; Archaeoglobaceae.